Mesocricetus auratus (golden hamster) is the source of this 1164-nucleotide long non-coding RNA. RefSeq lists it as uncharacterized. The transcript is spliced from 3 exons. Lineage: Eukaryota; Metazoa; Chordata; Mammalia; Rodentia; Cricetidae. The record is from RefSeq and is a predicted model, not a curated record.
CGCGGGGGACCCCACGGGGGCACGGGGCGGCGGCGGGGGCCCGCGGCGGCGCUCGGGCGGGCGGACUACUUGACGUGUCGGUGCGGCGAAUUUAUUUCACUUUGCCUAAGGAACGGGGUGUGCUGCGGCACCCAUUGCCUAGGGAAAAAACCCGGAUGUAAAGCAUGAAGUCCAGCUUUUGCAGAUGAAGAGCAGCCGUGGUGAGAUGAUUUGCCCAAAGUCAAAAGGGGCUCUGAGAUCACUGGAUGUGAAGAUAUUUUCUUCUGUGAGCUGCAGAAUUUAAAUUCAGCUUCUCAAGAGAAAGCAUUAAGAAAAAAAAACCCUCUGAUUUAUUAAAAGUUUUAAAAAAGUGAACUUUAUUUUACAUGUUGAAAAGAAUUCACAGCAGAAACUGAAAAGAGUUUGAGAGUAAAAAUGAAAGUCCCAAUUAAUGAUUCAAGAAGCCUGGAUGAAUAUGUGAAACUCAACCUACAAUGCCAUCAAGAUAAAUAACAGAGCCAAGUUGAGUACUAACUUCAGCACUCAGAUAACCAGUGUCCUUAAGUGUAGGUAUUUCAAGCUGUACCAGCGGGCCACUGGAACAGUAAUCCCAAAAUGCAAGGUGUCAACAUUUUUUCUCACAGGAAGGCAGUCUUAGUUUUCUUUUUGGGGGAAAAACAUUUUUUAAGAAACAUAAGGGGAGGUCAUGUUCAAUUGGGCAAGAAUGUAUAAACCCUAUACAGCAAAUCAGCAAAUUUUCUGUGAAAGCCAAGAUUGUAAAUAUCUUAGGUUAUUUUGAUACCUAAGUCAACAAGAGCAUCUCAAAUCCUCUGUUCCUGUACCAAAAUCCACCACAGACUACAUGUAAAUCAAUGUGUCUUAGUGAGUGUUCUAGUAAAGUUUCAUUUGUGCACAUUGACAUUUUACUUGCAUGUGCUUUUCAUAUUAUGAAAUGUGUUUUACCUUUUUCCCACUUGAAAAAAAAAUGCAAAAAAAAGUUUUUGUUUUGUUUUUUUUACUUUAGCUUUUUUGGGGGCAUUACAGAGCCAAGCAUUGGGAGGAUGGGGUGUAGUAUCUCUGUCCUUUGCUGGUCCCUGUUCACAAGGAUUCAGACUGAGUAGUCAUUGGACUUCCAACAGAGAGUGUUUGUUUGUACAGCAAUUAAAAAUCAGAAUUGUAAAAUAA